UCGGUCAGGACCUACCUGUCGCAGUUCCCCAAGGCCAAGCUCAAGCCGGGCGCCCCCCUGCGCCCCAAGCUCAACCCCAAGAAGGCCCGAGCGUACGGCCCUGGCAUCGAGCCCACGGGGAACAUGGUGAAACAACGGGCGGAAUUCACCGUGGAGACCAUCAGCGCCGGGCAGGGUGACGUCCUGGUGUACGUGGAGGACCCGGCCGGGCACCGCGAGGAGGCUAAAGUGGUGCCCAACAACGACAAGAACCGGACGUUCUCCGUGUCCUACGUGCCCAAGGUGACGGGCACACACAAGGUGGGUGC
Tinamus guttatus (white-throated tinamou) is the source of this 308-nucleotide non-coding RNA. Lineage: Eukaryota; Metazoa; Chordata; Aves; Tinamiformes; Tinamidae. The record is from RefSeq and is a predicted model, not a curated record.